This 397-nucleotide RNase P RNA is filed under the name Rhodospirillaceae bacterium. Its description in RNAcentral is "RNase P RNA component class A". It matches the Rfam family "Bacterial RNase P class A". From Rfam's summary of the family: Ribonuclease P (RNase P) is a ubiquitous endoribonuclease, found in archaea, bacteria and eukarya as well as chloroplasts and mitochondria. Its best characterised activity is the generation of mature 5'-ends of tRNAs by cleaving the 5'-leader elements of precursor-tRNAs. Cellular RNase Ps are ribonucleoproteins. Lineage: Bacteria; Pseudomonadati; Pseudomonadota; Alphaproteobacteria; Rhodospirillales; Rhodospirillaceae. RNAcentral also lists the same sequence under 1 other name. The record is from RNAcentral.
UCAGAUGGUCGGAUAGCUGCGCAUAAAAAUUGGGAAACCUUUUUAUGUGAGGAAAGUCCGGGCUCCACGGAAAUACGGUGCCGGUUAACGGCCGGCGGGGGCGACCCUAGGGAAAGUGCCACAGAAAAGAAACCGCCUAUAUGUAAUACUUUAAGUAAAAUAUGGGUAAGGGUGAAAUGGUGCGGUAAGAGCGCACCGCGCAGCCGGCAACGGAAGCGGCAUGGUAAACCCCACUGGGAGCAAGAUCGAAUAGAGGUGACAGAUGGCAUAUUUCCGUGCCGUCACCCGGGUGGAUCGCAAGAGGUAUUCGGCAACGAAUGCCCCAGAUGAAUAGCUAUCUCUUACCAAACUAAAGUUUUGGCAAGAACAGAACCCGGCUUAUAGACCAUCUGGCUUU